GCCGUACGCGCUCGCGCGUCUAGGUGAAACCGCGAAAGGCUCAUUAAAUCAGUUAUGGUUCCUUGGAUCGUACCGCUCAGUUACUUGGAUAACUGUGGUAAUUCUAGAGCUAAUACAUGCCGACAGAGUUCCGACCGUCUUCGCGGGCGGGAGGAACGCUUUUAUUAGAUCAAAACCCAUCGGGCUCGGUCGCUUGCGGCCGGUCCGACAACACUCGGUCCGCUUCGCGCGGGCCGACCAAGUGGUGACUCUGAAUAACUUUGUGCUGAUCGCACGGUCUCCGUACUGGCGAUGCAUCUUUCAAAUGUCUGCCUUAUCAACUGUCGAUGGUAGGUUAUGCGCCUACCAUGGUGGUAACGGGUGACGGGGGAUUAGGGUUCGAUCCCGGAGAGGGAGCCUGAGAAACGGCUACCACAUCCAAGGAAGGCAGCAGGCACGCAAAUUACCCACUCCCAGCUCAGGGGAGGUAGUGACGAAAUAUAACGAUACGGGACUCAUCCGAGGCCUCGUAAUCGGAAUGAGUACACUCUAAAACGUUUAA
RNAcentral lists this ribosomal RNA (541 nucleotides) under Diaphorina citri (Asian citrus psyllid). Its description in RNAcentral is "SSU rRNA". It matches the Rfam family "Eukaryotic small subunit ribosomal RNA", at positions 60 to 537 of the family's 1831-position model. Lineage: Eukaryota; Metazoa; Arthropoda; Insecta; Hemiptera; Psyllidae. The record is from RNAcentral.